This 582-nucleotide ribosomal RNA is filed under the name Tmarus hiyarensis. RNAcentral describes it as "partial large subunit ribosomal RNA". Lineage: Eukaryota; Metazoa; Arthropoda; Arachnida; Araneae; Thomisidae. The record is from RNAcentral.
UUCUAUUGUUAUAAAUCUUAAUCAUCUAGUUGGAUGAUCAUUUUAUUUUAUUUGUCGAUAUGAGCUAUUCUAUUUCUUUUUAUUUUAAGAAACAAAUAAUAGUUUUUCUCCUAUCGAUUUUUUACUUUAUUAUCCUUAUUAAUAAUUUCAUUAUUUAUUUCUUUUACUUCCCCUCUAUAUUCUUUUAUAUUUCAAAUAUUUAAGAUUACUUUGUUAUAAAAAUAAUUUAUUAAAUUAACGUAGUGAUUUACCAACGUCCUAAGGAUCCUUAGGUUGGAAUAAUCCUGGAAAAGCUCAAACUUAUAUAGAAUUUUGAAAAGCAAGAUUUUAUCACAUUUUACGAUGAGAAUGAUUUUAUGAUUAUCGUUAAUUCUCUUUCAAUUAAUAUUUUUAAUAAUAUUUUAAACAAUUUUAAUUUAAAAUUAUCUUUUUAACAUAUUAUAUUAAAAAAAUCCAGGAAAGCAUGAUAUUUUUUUCUAUUUUUCUAUCUUUGGCUGGACCAAAUGUGGCCAGACUUGAGUUAAGUACAUUAAUUAAUUUUCAGCUUGUCUGAAGGAUAUUAAUGAUGACGCAUUAAUUCCC